UAUAGGCUCAUUUCAAUAAUUGUUAUGAUUUCGUUGUCUGAUAAAUACUAAUGAUAAAUUCUAUACAAGAUAUCACGAAAUCCAAUACUUUCUACCAGUUCGUCGAUAUCCGACAGUAUCCAGUAAAAGAUACUAGAAAUUCCAAUGAAUCUUAUAUACUAGUAGCAUUUUUUUAAAUGUAUAGGAAAAUCCAGUAGCUUUGUUCGUUUAGUUUUCGGUACUUGUUCAGACUUGGAGGAAGUAAGCCUAUAGCUGCCGGUAAACAUAAAAUGCAGAAAAAUAAAACGGUUAUGUGUUUUUGAGCCCAUUAGUUUAUACAUCUGGUUGGUGCGAAAUCAAAAAAUCUUUUGGCAGCGAAGAAUCGAACAACAACGGAUAAAAAAAUACACUCCAGAAUGUUUUGAGCAUCUUUCAUCUGAUUCAAACGGAAGCAUUGUAAAUUGAAAUUUGACCUCUGCUCAGAGUAACUUGUGGGCGCAAGACUUUGAUCAGGCGAAUGCUCAAAAGGUUCAUCGUACAUCAACAGCAAGGAGAAUAAUUAAGCUACAAAUUCAGUAUGUACAUAGUUUGAUACCAGUGUUCCUUCAUUCAACCACAGAGAAAAUCAACUCCUGGCGAGAUUUGGUUCUUUGAAUGAACUUCCAGACUUGUACCGCGUUUACGGAAAGUCUUAGAUCGAUGAUCACAUAAAAACAGAGUACGAGUUGGCGGGGAAAUCCUCAUCAAUAGAACGGCUGAAAAUAAGAACCGAAUCCGGAAAAUGCUCCAAUCUACAUGGUACAAUUGAUUUCAACGGAAAUUUUUCUUUGACGUUCAGAGGCCAGAGAUGGAUGUACUGUUUUAGACGGGAUAAAUCCAGUAACAAUAAAUGUUUAA
Uranotaenia lowii is the source of this 876-nucleotide long non-coding RNA. RefSeq lists it as uncharacterized. The transcript is spliced from 3 exons. The record is from RefSeq and is a predicted model, not a curated record. NCBI's taxonomy places the organism in Eukaryota, Metazoa, Arthropoda, Insecta, Diptera, Culicidae.